This 256-nucleotide ribosomal RNA is filed under the name uncultured bacterium. RNAcentral describes it as "partial 16S ribosomal RNA". It matches the Rfam family "Bacterial small subunit ribosomal RNA", at positions 521 to 776 of the family's 1533-position model. The record is from RNAcentral.
UAAUACGUAGGUGGCAAGCGUUGUCCGGAAUUAUUGGGCGUAAAGCGCGCGCAGGCGGUUCCUUAAGUCUGAUGUGAAAGCCCCCGGCUCAACCGGGGAGGGUCAUUGGAAACUGGGGAACUUGAGUGCAGAAGAGGAGAGCGGAAUUCCACGUGUAGCGGUGAAAUGCGUAGAGAUGUGGAGGAACACCAGUGGCGAAGGCGGCUCUCUGGUCUGUAACUGACGCUGAGGCGCGAAAGCGUGGGGAGCGAACAGG